This 27-nucleotide non-coding RNA is filed under the name Homo sapiens (human). Lineage: Eukaryota; Metazoa; Chordata; Mammalia; Primates; Hominidae. The record is from RNAcentral.
UUCAAGAAGACACAGAUGCUGCAUCCC